This is a long non-coding RNA of Monomorium pharaonis (pharaoh ant), 141 nucleotides long. RefSeq lists it as uncharacterized. Lineage: Eukaryota; Metazoa; Arthropoda; Insecta; Hymenoptera; Formicidae. The record is from RefSeq and is a predicted model, not a curated record. The transcript has 3 exons.
GUUUCAUGAAAAAAGAUAUCCUCAGAAUACAAAACCAAAGAUGUCAAUGCCAUCUCGGGACCAGAAAGCACGCCCAAUUCUUCUAAUUCAGAAGUACGGAACCAAAGAUGUCAAUGCCAUCUCGGGACCAGAAAGCACGCC